UUCUUCUUGAAUGAAUAAGAAGUAACCCCUGCCCAAUGAAAUUUAAAUGGCUGCAUAUUUUGCACUAAGGUAGCAUAAUCAUUUGUUUAUUAAUUAUAAACUAGAAUGAAGGGGGUAAUAAUUUUAAGCUUUAUUUAUACUAUCAUUUGAAUUUAAAUUUUCAUUAAAAAUGAUGAAUUAAUAUUUAAGGACAAGAAGACCCUAUAAAGCUUAAUUUUAUUAAAAAUUCUUUUAUUUUUUAUGAAAUUUUUUUGGGGCAAAAAAUUAUGAUAAUUAAUAUAAUAAUAAUAGGUUUUUAUAGAAAAAAUAAAUUCAUGAUCCAUUAUUAAUGAUUAUUUGAAUAAGUUACUUUAGGGAUAACAGGAUAAUUUUUAUUUAGGAGUUCUUAUCAAAAAUGAAGAUUAUUACCUCGAUGUUGAAUUAAUAUAUAAAUAAAAAGAAGAAUUUUUAUUGAUUUGACUGUUCGUCAAUUAAAAUAUUACA
RNAcentral lists this ribosomal RNA (483 nucleotides) under Austropurcellia forsteri. RNAcentral's name for it is "partial 16S ribosomal RNA". Lineage: Eukaryota; Metazoa; Arthropoda; Arachnida; Opiliones; Pettalidae. The record is from RNAcentral.